RNAcentral lists this long non-coding RNA (382 nucleotides) under Pan troglodytes (chimpanzee). RNAcentral's name for it is "long non-coding RNA NONPTRT012018". The record is from RNAcentral. Lineage: Eukaryota; Metazoa; Chordata; Mammalia; Primates; Hominidae.
CUGGGGUUGCAAAUGAACCAUUCAAUUGAAUCAAAAGGCAAUGAAAUCACAUUGCUGUUCAUGAGUGGAAUCCAUGUUUCUGGACGCGGAUUUUUGGCCUCAUACUCUGUUAUAGAUAAACAAGUAAGUACUGCCCAGCUGGUUGUCUGCUUCCUUUUGCUGAGAUAUCUGGAACAAUUCCUCAUGGAUAUAGAGAUUCCUCGCCAUUGUGCAUGGCUGGUGUGCAUGCAGGAGUAGUGUCAAACACGUUGGGCGGCCAAAUCAGUGUUGUAAUUAGUAAAGGUAUCCCCUAUUAUGAAAGUUCUUUGGCUAACAACGUCACAUCUGUGGUGUAAGUAUAUAUGCAAUUUAAAAAAUAUAUGCUAUAUAUAAUUAGCAUUCU